Molecule: ribosomal RNA, 497 nt
Filed under: uncultured bacterium
Lineage: Bacteria
Description: partial 16S ribosomal RNA
Rfam family: Bacterial small subunit ribosomal RNA
Source: RNAcentral
GAUGAACGCUGGCGGCGUGCCUAAUACAUGCAAGUCGAGCGAACAGACGAGGAGCUUGCUCCUCUGACGUUAGCGGCGGACGGGUGAGUAGCACGUGGAUAACCUACCUAUAAGACUGGGAUAACUUCGGGAAACCGGAGCUAAUACCGGAUAAUAUAUUGAACCGCAUGGUUCAAUAGUGAAAGACGGUUUUGCUGUCACUUAUAGAUGGAUCCGCGCCGCAUUAGCUAGUUGGUAAGGUAACGGCUUACCAGGGCGACGAUGCGUAGCCGACCUGAGAGGGUGAUCGGCCACACUGGAACUGAGACACGGUCCAGACUCCUACGGGAGGCAGCAGUAGGGAAUCUUCCGCAAUGGGCGAAAGCCUGACGGAGCAACGCCGCGUGAGUGAUGAAGGUCUUCGGAUCGUAAAACUCUGUUAUUAGGGAAGAACAAAUGUGUAAGUAACUAUGCACGUCUUGACGGUACCUAAUCAGAAAGCCACGGCUAACUACGUG